AGUGAACGCUGGCGGUAGGCCUAACACAUGCAAGUCGAACGGCAGCACAGUAAGAGCUUGCUCUUACGGGUGGCGAGUGGCGGACGGGCGAGGAAUACAUCGGAAUCUACUUUUUCGUGGGGGAUAACGUAGGGAAACUUACGCUAAUACCGCAUACGACCUACGGGUGAAAGCAGGGGAUCUUCGGACCUUGCGCGAUUGAAUGAGCCGAUGUCGGAUUAGCUAGUUGGCGGGGUAAAGGCCCACCAAGGCGACGAUCCGUAGCUGGUCUGAGAGGAUGAUCGGCCACACUGGAACUGAGACACGGUCCAGACUCCUACGGGAGGCAGCAGUGGGGAAUAUUGGACAAUGGGCGCAAGCCUGAUCCAGCCAUACCGCGUGAGUGAAGAAGGCCUUCGGGUUGUAAAGCCCUUUUGUUGGGAAAGAAAAGCAGCAGGUUAAUACCCCGCUGUUCUGACGGUACCCAAAGAAUAAGCACCGGCUAACUUCGUG
This 492-nucleotide ribosomal RNA is filed under the name uncultured bacterium. RNAcentral's name for it is "partial 16S ribosomal RNA". It matches the Rfam family "Bacterial small subunit ribosomal RNA", at positions 29 to 507 of the family's 1533-position model. The record is from RNAcentral.